ACCUCUUGUCAAACACAUGCAUCAAAAGGGUAUCAAAAUCACCCAUAAUACCUCAUACAUUCAGAGCAUUCAAAUUAAAAGCAUAAAGUAAUGGGAAUAAGGCAAACCUGACUGGAGAGAUCGAAUGAAAUUGAAUUGCCCGGUUGGGUUUGCAAAAUAAUCUGAGGGUUUAUGAGAGGGAAUUGGUUUUUUGUCGAUUAGUUCCCUUCAGUCUCUGGAGGUUGCUCUGAACUCUGUUAGCUCUUCU
Molecule: long non-coding RNA, 247 nt
Filed under: Lathyrus oleraceus (garden pea)
Lineage: Eukaryota; Viridiplantae; Streptophyta; Magnoliopsida; Fabales; Fabaceae
Description: Pisum sativum (pea) long non-coding RNA (PSAT_LNC027394)
Source: RNAcentral